AUUGAACGCUGGCGGCAUGCCUUACACAUGCAAGUCGAACGGUAACAGGUCUUCGGAUGCUGACGAGUGGCGAACGGGUGAGUAAUACAUCCGAACGUGCCUAGUAGUGGGGGAUAACUACUCGAAAGAGUGGCUAAUACCGCAUGAGAUCUACGGAUGAAAGCAGGGGAUCGCAAGACCUUGUGCUACUAGAGCGGCCGAUGGCAGAUUAGGUAGUUGGUGGGAUAAAAGCUUACCAAGCCGACGAUCUGUAGCUGGUCUGAGAGGACGAUCAGCCACACUGGGACUGAGACACGGCCCAGACUCCUACGGGAGGCAGCAGUGGGGAAUUUUGGACAAUGGGCGAAAGCCUGAUCCAGCAAUGCCGCGGGCAGGAUGAAGGCCUUCGGGUUGUAAACUGCUUUUGUACGGAACGAAAAGCCCCGGGUUAAUACCCUGGGGUCAUGACGGUACCGUAAGAAUAAGCACCGGCUAACUACGUGCCAGCAGCCGCCGUAA
Molecule: ribosomal RNA, 498 nt
Filed under: uncultured bacterium
Lineage: Bacteria
Description: partial 16S ribosomal RNA
Rfam family: Bacterial small subunit ribosomal RNA
Source: RNAcentral